This 490-nucleotide ribosomal RNA is filed under the name uncultured bacterium. Its description in RNAcentral is "bacterial SSU rRNA". It matches the Rfam family "Bacterial small subunit ribosomal RNA", at positions 38 to 518 of the family's 1533-position model. The record is from RNAcentral.
GGCGGCAGGCCUAACACAUGCAAGUCGAACGGUAACAGGAAGCAGCUUGCUGCUUGCUGACGAGUGGCGGACGGGUGAGUAAUGUCUGGGAAACUGCCUGAUGGAGGGGGAUAACUACUGGAAACGGUAGCUAAUACCGCAUAACGUCGCAAGACCAAAGAGGGGGACCUUCGGGCCUCUUGCCAUCAGAUGUGCCCAGAUGGGAUUAGCUUGUUGGUGGGGUAACGGCUCACCAAGGCGACGAUCCCUAGCUGGUCUGAGAGGAUGACCAGCCACACUGGAACUGAGACACGGUCCAGACUCCUACGGGAGGCAGCAGUGGGGAAUAUUGCACAAUGGGCGCAAGCCUGAUGCAGCCAUGCCGCGUGUAUGAAGAAGGCCUUCGGGUUGUAAAGUACUUUCAGCGGGGAGGAAGGUGUUGUGGUUAAUAACCACAGCAAUUGACGUUACCCGCAGAAGAAGCACCGGCUAACUCCGUGCCAGCAGCGGC